Molecule: long non-coding RNA, 1109 nt
Filed under: Rattus norvegicus (Norway rat)
Lineage: Eukaryota; Metazoa; Chordata; Mammalia; Rodentia; Muridae
Description: long non-coding RNA NONRATT014359
Source: RNAcentral
CCCACACAGACCUCCAGUCAGAACCAAGGGGGAGCCGGCCCCGCCUCCCGGGAAAGCAGGGGAGAAGUCAAUAAAGAAGCCAGCCCCGCCCCCAGCCCCACCACAGGCCACCAAAACUACUGCACCUGCUCCUGAGCCUGCCAAGCCUGGAGAUCUCCGAGAAGCCAGGAGAAAGGAACGGCAAACCAGGACUCCCCCAAGGAGGCGGACGCUCAGCGGCAGUGGCAGCGGCAGUGGUAGCAGCUACAGUGGCUCCAGUUCCCGAUCCAGGUCACUUGCUUGGUCCUACUCCCUAUUGACCUUUUCCCUCCCUCACCAGGUGGGCUGACCAUGUCCGGGGCUCUUCAGUGUCCAAGAACACAGCUCAGGGUGACCAUGGCCUCCCUCCCUUCACACAGGAGCACCUUCCUAACCUGAAGGGAAGAGCCCUAGACUGGUCCUUCUACCCAGCUGGACAAAGCUGAGGCCGGUCCCAGGUUCUCUGCCCACAGAGAACUGAGGAGAGACUGGGUGUUCUCUGGGCCUGCCGCUCCCUAGUGGAGGGAGUCAGCCCUGAAGUAGUUGGGAGGAGAGAGUUAAAAGAAAGAGUUAGAAGGUGGAGUCAGCUUGGUGCUUUUGGAAUCUGGUUGAUCAUUUUUCCUUCUAUCCUUGAGCAUCAGGGCCUUAGCUUUUGUCCAAGGCUUUAGCAGUCUAGACUUUCAAAGACCUGUGGGGCUUUUAUUUGUUGGCUUUUUGAGACAAGGUGCCCAAACUCGCUCUGUAGACUAGGCUGACCUGGAACUCAUGGAGAUCCACCUGCCUCUGCCUCCCAAGUUCUGGGAUUAAAGGUGUGUGCCACCAUGAACCCUUGGUUCUGUCUCUCCCUGUCUCUGUUCCUCUGUUCUGUCUCCUGAUGACCUUAGAAGAAGCUGGUUGGUGUUUGUGAUAGACACGUCAUGGCUCUGCUGGUCAAAACUGUAUCACCAUCUACUCUCCCCAUCCCACUCCACCCCUGUGCCUUGUAGAGAGUAGAAAGUGUCUUAGCAGUCACACUAAAGGGGAAACCCAGGGCCUUGCGUUCUGUUCAAGUGCCCUAUCACUGAGCUGCAGGCUCUUGGUUUUGGUUUGAA